Non-coding RNA from Rattus norvegicus (Norway rat), 18917 nucleotides. NCBI's taxonomy places the organism in Eukaryota, Metazoa, Chordata, Mammalia, Rodentia, Muridae. The record is from RefSeq and is a predicted model, not a curated record.
GGGAUAACAUUUGAAAUGUAAAUAAAAAUAUCCAAUAAAAAAAAGAUUGGUUUAAACUCAGAAUUCUAGAAGCAAGGAUCCCAGAGUAAUCACUUUCCUUUAAAAAAAAGUGGUCAUCACAGUUUCCAGAGAGUUAUGUGUUCCGGGAAUUUGAAACUGGUACUUGAUGGACAGAACAUUAUAAAAGAGACAGACAGUGUUGGCAGCGAAUGGUGAACUUCACCAUGAAUUUAGUCUGCAGGCCGUGGGUGACAUGUGCCUCAGGAGAUCUAUGACUGUGGCCCAAUGCAAAAUCAUAAAUUUCAGAUAUCAUGAGAUCUUAAAGUAUAAAUACAUGUGUGGUUCUCAUAUGUAAAGCUGUAGGUGACAACGCCAUGCUGCAGCGUUUAAAGGUUGGACACAGGUGCAUGAGCACUGGGAAGUGCUGAAGGAUGGAUUUAUUUACAUAGGUUUCAGGACAUCAGGAAGGAUCCUCUCAUACAAGGACGAGGAAGUUGAAGUGGUCCGCGCCUUCUUAAUCAACCACCUACAUCAUGGAUCUGCUCCUUUAUACAUGAGGGCAGGUUCCUUACCACCAAAGCUAAAAUGUUUCCUGAAGAGAUGUGGCAAGGAAUAGUCAUUAUUGUGUGAAAAGGGCAGUGACAAAGUAGACCCCAGCAGUGACCGGACAAGAACUCCCACAAGAAGCAACAAGCAAGCUGAGAAUAGAGUUAACAGGCCACUACUGUACAAGACAUAAAUGGCGGUGUUAAAGCAACUUCAACAGGAGGAGGAAAAGAUUCCCACUAAGAGGACAAUAUCUUGUCACCCUGGGAUUUGUCCAAGAGCAUCUAAGUGGUAAUUCCCUGAGGGGGUUUUAGAGAGGUCCCCUGUGCUAAGAGCAGCAUUUGAUGGAACAUCUAUCUAGCUCGUUGAGAUCUACAACCAAGUUUUGCUCCUUAGGUGAGUUUCUUAUAUUCUUCCUUUUUUUCAUUCUAUGUUUUUUACUACUUGAGACUAAUUUUUUCUUCAUUUUUCUUCUGUGGGUAGAAAAGGUGAAUUAGUGUCAACAUUUUGUUUUUCCAUUAAAAGAUGAUGGCACAUGAAUUAAUAAGAAAAUGUUUAUGUUUUAAAAUAGGUGGAAGCAAAAUUGAAAAGAAUUCUUAGGCUUUUACCUUAGGAUCUGAAUGAUUCGUGUGUCUAAGCAACCCAAAUAUUCUGUGUGCCUUUGAGCCUCUCUCCCCCAAAUAUGGUAUCCUCAUAUUGGAUCAUUUCAGCCUUUGGUGCAACAGAAUUACAGUUCAACACACUGGAAGGUGAAAAACAUCUAAAAUAUCUUUUCCUUUCCUCUUUUUUGCAAUGAAGGUGGAAGCUAGUAAUUAAAAGGAUAUUUACGUAACACACUGGAUGGUGUCUCUGGUACUCAGCUGUGCUGGAUCCUCUCCAGCAGAAGCUCAGCUCUAAACAAGUUCCCACCUGCUCACCGAAGGGCUUAUUUUACCUGUUUGAGCACCUUCGCUUUUCCUUGUUUCUAACCAUGGUACCAAAGAGAAACACAGACUAAUGACUCUGCCUGUUUCUUGGCAGUUUUAUGGAUGGGAUUUAAAGGUAAUAGGUUGUCUUCUUUUCUGGUUGGUCUAGAAAGCCAGAGUGCUAAAGCUGGUAAUGCUUGGCUUCUGGGGAGAAAAACCUGUCUAGACCCUCUCUCAUUACUGACAGGAGGGAUGGUUAUAACUGAGGGGUGAAGAAAGGCGUCCCUCUGCGUGCGCAAGCUGUGUGGACCAUGCUUGUGUCUUCAUUUUCCUUUUUGUAGAUAGCAAAUAAUACAGACAUAUAAGAGCAUUAGUGAGCCUCAAGUAAGAUGUUUGCUUAAGUGAUUCUCAUUCACUAGGUACUCAAUGAGCACUGGCUUCCUUCCCUGAUUAUAUGUUCAUUCUAGGGAAAAGGAUCAGCCUCAGCUGAAUGCGAAAGAUCGACUUUCCUAUAGCAUCGUAAGUGCAGAAUCAACAAUGGGAAUGACUGGGGAGCCAAGACACUUUCAGAUUGACCACAGGCAUCUUUGUAGCCGCUGCUCCCCUAAUUCUAUUUAUUUACCAAGUAUAUGCAGACUUCCAUUUUCAGAGCUGGUUGUUAGCAUAUGGAAGGCAUGAUUGAGUGAGUCUUAAUCACUUUUCUCAAAGGUCUCCUAAUAUUGUGCGACACAGCUGUGUAAAUACAAUGACAAAAGCCAACAGUCACAGAACACUCACUAUGUGCCAGGCACUGUCCUAUGUGCUUUGCAUACACUAAUUCAUUUACUCUGUCCAACAGCUAUGUAACUUGGUUGUGUGCACCAAAAUGUGCCAUGAAACAUUCAUGAACCCCAAAAAGACCACCAAGAAGCCAAAUCCAAUGCAAUCACAAUAGGGUCUCUUUACUCAAGCUCAAGUUUGGGCUCCUUGCCAACCCUGACACAGCAGGAACGUGGAGCCCUGAGCCUAGUUUUAGGCAAGCAUUUAUAGAAGCAAGAAGGGGGUAUAUAGCCUGGUACACAUCUGAUGUGAGGGGGCAUCAAGGCCUUUAACAUAAUUGACUGAUGCUGAGAGGCAAACUAUAACUGCUUUUUUCCUGAUUGGUGGUUGUUAGGAAGUGAAGGGUCAGGGUUGGCCUUGUAACCUGGGCGUGUACACUUGUUUAGUGAAUAACCUAGAAACUGAUAAACACGGGUCUUAAUGGGGGGCAGCCUGGAAACUGGUGCUAGGUCAGUUAAUGAAUUAGUUAGGUUAGAACUGUUAGUUAACUUGAGUUCAACCUCAGAUCAGGUUCUCUAAGAUGGAGUCUGAACCCAAAAGUUUUGGCCUCUUAAUAUCAGCUACUGUGUUGAGUCAAUAAUGGGCUCAGAGAGGGCUACCCAGUGGUCACAUAGCUAGCCAAUGAGAUCUGGAUCUACAACAUUUUUCUCUUUACCACUAUGCUUUAUUACCAUGCUACAUACAAGAUAGCAUAAAGUCUUCUUGAAGAUCCCAAUGUCAAGGACUGUGGACAGAUUGCUUGACAAAACUAAAAGAAUAGGAGACUUUAGAUGUAUCUUUCAAUAUUAGAAUAUUUACAUUAAGUUGAUUUUAGCUUCCUCAAACAUUGUCUUCUGUGAUAUGUCAUUUUGAUCCAAGGGCUUUUCUAGUCUCCAAAAAGUUUCAAGAAUUGGGAGCCAACCCAUCCUGCUGGCUACAGGUCUUUCUCUUUAAUUCCUCCAAGUCCCAUUUGAAAAUUUGAGCAGCCAAGGAACAAGUUCUCUUACUCCAAGAUAUAGUGCAAGAAAAUCUUCCUUGUGAGCAAGGAAAAAUCAGUACCUUUGGGCUUGCUGUUUGCCAUCCAUGGACCAAAAACUUUCUAGAUCAUCACAGUGCUAGAAGAGGAAAGGUCUCAUUCAGGGCAAAUGAUGAUAGUUACUGAGGAUAGCUUAUGACUACCACUAAUGCAUCUCUUGGCAAAGAGAAGGGACUCUACUGGUCAUUGUGUUUUCCAUUUGCACAACUAUCAGAAAGCAACUUAGAGACUGGAUCCAGAUCGGUCCACAUGACCUCAGCUCCACUGUGCUUUGACUCGCUACUCCCUAGCCUGGGUUCCCAAUUGCGUGUGUAUUCUGUGACUGUUUUUCCUACCUGGAAGCUAUAGCCUUUUGUUGGAGAAAACUGCAUCCACUUCUGCCACUCCUUCCACUAUCAGGAAUUCACGAUGGCAUCUACAUCAAAGGCGUAGGGAGUGUGCUCUGGAGAAUGUUUGCUUACAUGCUGUUUCAGACUGUACCUGGGAGGGUAAUCUUUUCAUCCUCGCUGUGCCUUCCUUAGAAGCCUAUCAAACCACUCCUGGCCUUUUCCUACUCCCUUUUAUCACCCUCUGGAACAAAGUUGGGACUUGUGCAAUGACGGGGUGCUUUUCUGUGGGAACAAUAAUCUCAUUUCAAUAUGUGUGGGUGGGUAGAUUAUAUAUUACGGGCUUGGAGCUCAGUUGUAGGACGAGGGAGGGACUCGGUUAAAUAGUUGUAUGAUUAACAAGCUGCGGGAUUUUUAUGGUUGCGGGAAAAAAGGCUACUGUGGGAAUAACCGGGUCAGAUGGAGAAUGAUUCAGCCCAAGGCAUUCUGUAGGUUAUAAGGUGGGAGUGGAGACAGGCAAGGAAGUGGGUCCCCCACGUGUUAGAAAACAAGUGAAGAUUAUCUCUUCAGAAGCACUUGAAUAUGCACUCUCUUUUCCUCUCCUCGUUUCUUCUUCCUCCCCUUCCUUCUUGUCUUUUUUAAACUUUUCUACCUCCUUGGGGGAAAAAUAAAUCUGGAUUACAGAGGAAAAACGCCCUGUAAUAGGUGCUGCUUCCCUGUAUCAGAGCUUGCUGUUAGUAGCCAGCUAUUAGUUACACAGAAUGGCUAGACAAGGAAGUGGACAUUUGCUGCCUAGCUAGUAUACUUUUUUUUCAUUAAUCAGAUCACCUGUCUUGAUUUGACUCACCAUGUUUGCAAGUGUAAACUGGACUCAGUAACUUUCCAUGUUUCCUCUGAGCUGUCUACUCACUGACAGUUUGUGGGGACCUGACAAGUGUAGGACUGCAGGUAUAGCAACAAACUCUUGGUCCCUGCCUGGGUAUUAAGCCAAGGGAGAAAGGACACCAAAGUCAGGCAGAUGGAGACAAGAUUGUCACCACCUCUCUAGAAAAAUACUGCUAAGGGUCAAGAUCCCAGGGAACAGAAGUAAUAACUUUCCAGAGGCCCCAAAUGUCAAAUAACAAGCAAUUUGUUGACCCAUUCUCCAAUGCAGGUCAAACAAAUGUGUUUUCCACCUGCUAAUGGCGGUGGGGUCUUCUUCUCUGGGAGGCUUUCAGCACGGAAACACAACUCAUGCAAUGUCUUUUGCUUUCAGAGCUACUCGAAAGACUACCAAAUGAACAGAUUGUGUGAUUACUGCUUCCAAAUUCAUUAGCAGCUAAGUCAUCCCCUUCCCAAUGAGAGGCUAUGCCACAGGGCAGAAACAAGGAAUGUUGAGAGAAUAUUGCACUAAAGCCAAUAGCCAUCUUUCUAACAACUGUUGCCCAUGCACACAUCUCAGUCUAGUUGGUUAUUAGAUCAAGACCAUAAGGACUAAUCUGGCCAAUAGUCUUCCACAGAAGCCACAUGCAUGAUUAAUUAAAAAUUUCUUCUGUCCCUCUCUAACUGCCAUGGUGACUCUGAAGGAUAUAUGUUGCAGAUGGCAUAAUUACAAGACAGUGGAAGCAUGUUGAAGCUGGAAAAAAAUGUACUGUGUGACUGACAAAUCAAAUGUAUGUCUUUAAACCAUUGAAAUUCAAAGUUUCUAUUGUUGUUCUGGAAAAAGAACUUCUUCUCUCCUGACUAAAAAUAUUUGUCCUUCCUCAAAUCAAGGACUUGGUCGACUACGAAAAGGACAAUAAUUUUUGUGUUCAAGAACACUUGAUUUAAUGGGGAAGACAGAAAACACACAGGGAAGGAUAAUUAUUAUCUGUGUUAGGAACACUGAAGUGCAGAAAGCAGUUCUUGGAAGAAUACCUUGAAAUGUGUGUACAGAGUAAACACCACUUAUGAAAGACAUUGGAGCAAACGUAAAAUGAUGUGUUUAAGUAAAUGGUAAUAGAUCUUUCACACAAUGAAGAGAGAGUCUUCUCAUGGGAGAGCUUUCCUCCUACGGGGUACAUGUAUAAGACCUAAUUCAUAAAGUGUUUCUUCUACACUUUGCCAUUAGCUAAGAAAGUUUAUGGCUUUUCUCUUCCUGUUGUGGUUUCUUAUAAAAAGUAAAGCUUUGAUUUGGAUUUGACAGAUGGGUACCUACAAUAUUAAGUAUGAGAGCCAGACUCCAUGAAACCCCAUCAUCAUUUAAAUGUGUUCUCCCUCAUCCCCACCCUGAUUGACAUGUCCUGCCUGGUUAAACAUCAUUGAUUUGGAAUGAACCUUUGAGCUCUCAGAAUUGUAACCCCAUGACCAGUAUUGAUAGAGAAUCAAUAGUUCCAUCCUUUAAUUAGAAGAAUGUGGAUAUUCCUUUUAAAGCAAAUAUAUAGGGUUUUUUUUGUGAUCUACAUAGUACUGCACUAAUCAAUUAUUUGGGGGGGAUCUGUGAAUGAUCCAUUGUCCUUUAUUUUGGUGACAUUAUCUUGUUUUCCAUUAGGUCAUCUUCAUAUCCCUACUCUCUGUCUACCUGUAAGUUGUACAUGAGUCACAGAUCCAUACUCUGGAGACAGUAGUGCUCUCUUGACAAUGAGUGAUUCAAAACUGGGGCUGUGACCCAACCUAGUUCAUUGACAGUUAGGCUUUAAUCCUUUAGGAGAAUCUGGUGGCUUUAAUUUUGAAUGGAGAGGAUAUAAACUGUCUUUUCCAUUGCCUAUCAAUCUAGGAGAACACAGACCUGCAGCUACUAGCUUCCGUGUGACUUCUCUGGGAAUCCUAACAUUAGAGAGAGCAGUGCUGCUUCAAGCCUUGAUGAAUCCAUCACUCAUGCCAACUUCCUUCUGGCCUCAUGCCAACAUGAGUUGGCUUUUCUAUGGUUUGCAAUGAAACGAAAUCUAAUUAAUGUUGGGACAAAAAUUCUCAUGAGGAAAAGAAAAAAGCCAAUGCACCUACCAUCAAUUAUUUCACUGAUUUGAAGCCAUUCUCUACUUUCCUCAAAUACCUGAGUGCUUCAGAGCAGUUGUAGAAAUUGUCUUGCGAAGGAAAUCAUGAUCUAAUCUUUUUUUCUUAAGGCAGAGCAUAUUUAUUGAAUGUAAGGAAUAAUUAUUUUUACGUAAUUAAAUACUUCUAGUCAAAGUAUGAAAUGGGUAAUGAUAGAAACAAUUUUUUAAAACAUAUCUAAAAACCAUAUAAAGGCCAGGUAAAUACAAAACUACACUGCAAUUUUUUCUAUUUGAAAGUCCUUUUCUCAAUAAGAACUUACACAAAUGUUAACUGUUUUGUUCUUUGGGUAAACUUAAUUAAGUCAACAUGCAUAGCUAAUUUAUUUGCUCUCUUCCUAUGGUAAUGCCAUCUUGGGGAGUAGUUACGACUUUAGAAGGCCCAAGGGAGAUUAAACAAUCCAAAAUGGAGAAAUAGGUCAAGUUUACCUCAAAUGGUUCAUAGGUUUCUGUUAAUAUUUUCUCUCAUCUCUAGAAAAAAGUGAAGAAGGGAGCAGGGUAAAAAAGAGAAGGAAGGAAAUGAGGGAACAAUAGAGAAAUAAAAGAAGGAUGGAAAAGAAGCAGAGAGGGAGAGAAAACAAGAAGAAAGGGAAAGAAAAUGAUUAAAUGCAUUAUUAAAACCUAAUUGUCACUGUAAUUAAGCUCCUGAGGUAAAUGUUAUUUCAAGUUUAUGAAUGGAACCAGAGGCCACAAGAGAGUGGUAAUUAAUCUUAAUUUCAAAUAUUGAGGUACUUUCUACAUGCCUGUUAUGAAUUGCUUGUUUCUCACAGCAACCCAGUGAAGUAGACAACUUGAUCUUCUGUUCAUAGGUGAGAAAAUAGGAACCAAAAGAGGUAGAAUAAUGCAUCUAAGCUCACACAUUUGGGUAACCCUGCUCUCAAACCUAUGUCCUAGACCAUUAAACAUUCUUGGCCCUAUGGCCAAUGGAUUUAUGCAGUUCAUUUGCUUGAGCUUUUAAAACUCAUUAGUAGUUAUAACUGUCAUGUUUCUCCACUGCAGAUAAUGUAAUUACAUUGUUAUUUCCAGAAGAAAGGGAUCCAGUGAAGAAUGAAGACAAUACUCCAAGCUGAAAAAGAGGUCUGAUAGUAUGUUAAUAAACAUUUGCAAAUGAUUCCCAGAGCCAUGCCUUGAAACUAAUCUACCCAGAAAAGGGAUGACCCUUGCAUGGCCAGUGUAGUAUUGAAACAGGGGAAAUCAUUGUUUCUGCUCAGGGCUCUUAGUCUAUUAGAAGAUAAUUUAAGAACAGACCUAAAAGAAAAUUAAAAUACAACUUUAUUAUAUUUUAUAAAAAAAAACUCCACCUAUAAAUCUCGGCAGCUGCUGAAAGGAGAACAGGAGUGAAAAGGGGGGGGGGGAGGCUAUGUUGUUUAAGCAGCCAUGGAACCCAGAUACACGGUAGGCAAGCAGUCAAGUGGUGUUCUUGGUGGGGGUGAAUUGAGAAAAAUAAAAGGGUAAAGAAGCAUAAUGUAUCAGAAAAAGAACAUGUGGAUUCUGGCAGGCAUCAAAAAGAAAGAGAAUAAAGAAAAGGGAAGGGAGGUUUGGAAGACCCAUUUUAACCUCAUGGCUUCACAGCUCAUGGAGCCACAAAUCUGGGAAUAUUCCACCCAAAAAUAUAAGAAAGACAAGAAUAGAAAAAGCAAUAGUCAGUAUUUGAGCAAAAGAAUAGUUAUUCCACCCAUCUCUUUAGCUUGGCCUAAGGUCAACUCGCCCUCCUAGAGGCAAUCCCUUGGCCAGCUGAGGCUCAACUGAAAUGUUCAUUGCCCCUCCACCCACAAUAUAUACCUCCUUGUGUAGACCUGAUGAGCUAUUAUAAGCCAAAUGUUCUACUGAAACAAGAGAAAUGGAUUCUAAGGUAGCCAGAUAUUCUACUGAGAAUAGAUUCUACAUUAGAAUGCAAUGGUGAGAUUCACAGUGUGGAGAAUAUUCAAAAUGUAGACAUGAGAUUCACGAAGAAUACACAGCUGAUACCUAUGACCAUGGUAGAACUGAAAAUUAGUCUUAGAUUAAACCAACACUGGGCUACUUGGAACUCAACAUGUUAUUCCAUGCUAUGACAUGCCCAAGUUUUACAAAAAGGAUAGGAUCCCUAAAGAUAUAUAAUAUGUCACAUGCUUCAUUCAGUAUUCAGGAAGGAGGAGCUCAUUCUAUACCCAAUUCAUCAUCCAGAAAAUUAUAUUUGACUCACAUGCACAGGAAAAUUUCAACCUGAACAAUUGGAAUGAAUAUUUGAGGUGGAUCCUGAAAGACCCUCCUACCUACUCCUUUUAGGUUCUGAGCUGAUCCGAGACUCAGUUUCUGGAUUUGUUGUUGUAAGCCUUUGUAUUUAAAUUGAGAACUUCAAGACUUGAGCUCUCCAUCUUUUCAUCUAAGGUAGGGACUGGCUCCUUGUACAUUCUCAAUGGCAGAUGAAAGUGUUCUUUUGAUUCUACCUUGCUACUAAAGAGCUACAUUCUUAGUCAGCUCUAGUGGGUAGUGUGUGGAAUUAUAAAGAAACCCCAUAACCCAGUGAACCCCAAUCUAUCCCCAAAUAGCCACUCUAUAUCCUAUAGUAAAAUUUCACCUCUUUCCUGCCACUAUUGAAAUCAUUACUCUGACCCAAUCUCUACUUCGUUUUCCUCAGCAAGGCACUCAAGACCAACCCAUAGUCCACAAAUAACCACAAUCCCCCCUCCCUCUGGAAAUUCUCUAAGCUCUCCUCCUUGUAACACUUUAUACCUUGUAGUAAAAUUGUGACCAGCACAACCACUGGACAUUUUACGGUUGUCAGUCAUCUCAGUUGUCUAUUUCUGCAUCUCCUUAUAUUUCAAGAAACCCCACAGUUCUUCAACAACUACUCCACAAAUCACAAUAAAUCCCCAACUACUGCUCUACAAAUCCUGUUAGUUUGGAAUAAUUCAGUUGUUUCAUCAUGGCAUCUACUUGAUGUUCCUCAGUGUGUAUACUAUUUCCCGAUCUGCCCCAUAUUCCAUGAAAAAUGCAGAAAAGUCCUUGACUAUGCCAACUCCACAAAGUGCACCAAUGCUUUCCCUCAGAGAUGUUAUUUUCAUUUUCAUAAAGAACUCCCAACCUCUUUCAAUUGUACAUCCUCUUGCCACUUCAGAUUCAACAUCAGCCAACAAUCAUCCUCCACAAGCUUUCUCAGACUACCCAGGACACUACAAUCUUCUUUCCUACCUUCCACAAUCCACAUUCAUUCUCUCCCUUACCAUAACCACAUCUUACUCCCCAGUAAUUUCAAGUCUUUCCUCCAAAGGUGUCUUAGCCUCCAUAGACAGUACCACCCUUGGCUCCUCCAUCUUCUUUGAAUUCCAUUUUAUGCCUGCCUCUUCUCUCCAAGCCAUUAACAUUCCCAGGAGAACCUCAAUUGAGUCAUCUUCAUCUUCCUUUUAGUAAUCCUUCCACAGGAAGUGUAAUUUUCCUUGGAGUCUCACAGUUACUCGUUCCCUUUAAAAAGACAUUCCAUUCUACAAGAAGCCUCUGACUAUAAUGUGCACCAUAUACAUUGUGUUUUUCCCUUUUGUGUCUCUGUGAUAGAAUACUAUGCCCAUAACAAUGUGUGGAAGAGCAUUCCUUUGGGCUGAUGGUUCCAGACAAGUAAAAGUUCACUAUGGCAGGGAGACAUGGGAACAAUCAGCAAGUAUGGUGGUUACAGUAGAAAGGUAAGAGCUCAGUUCUUGAACCCAAAAACAUAAAGCAGAGGGAUGGCCCUGAGAAUGGAGUGAAAGCCUUCAAACUUCAAAGCCUACCCCUCAAUGCUUCUACUGGUAUACUUGCUUCAGCAAGACCUCUCAAAAGGCCUGACUAAAUGCAAUCUAAGUGGUCAAAUACAUAAGUCUAUGAAAUACAGUAUCAUUCAAAUAACAACAAUACACUAUACUCUAGAGUACAACCAAUCUGCAUGACAAAUCAUACCACCCUCCUCUUACAACCUAAUUACACUGAGCAGUAACAGCUAAUCACAAUUUCGGCAAGGCCUUACUAUGCCACAGUAAUUCUGCUAAUUCGUUUUCAUCAUCUUUACAGCUAAUUCACAUGUCAUUGAAACUUCCAAGGAACCUGUCACCAAGCACAUUCCAAACUAAACCCCAGCCUUCCGUCCACAUAAUCAUCUCACACUCCGCAAUAUUCUCCAAUAACCCUCUAAAUUCUCCAAAGAAUGCUUGUAUCUCAGAUGAUAGUUUGCAGUUAGUGCCCGAGAAGGAUCACUAAAAUCCAGACUAUAGUCCUAAGGACCUCUUUGUCAAUUUACAUGCGAAGAGACAUCCUUUAUGGUGUACAAAAAUAUAUUUUAUCAUGAUGUGCACACUGCUGAAUGCUGAACACAGCAGAUGUCUAUACUUUCAAAACAGGCCUUGAAUAGUGUGCUACAGCAAGACAAAAAUGUGCUCUGUAAUGUGGAAAUUGUUCAUCCCAUUCACACUCAGAGUGGUAACACCAUGCAGAUUCUAGCUUCUCCAAUGCCAUUUGUUAUUGUGAAGGAAGAAGAGGACACGGACAAUGACAUUGAGAGGGAAUAGUGAGUUAGAGAUGGAUUGCAUGAAGAUUUGCGUAUGCUAGAAAUUAUUAAGGAAAUACAGUGGCUACUUCCAGUUUCCAGUCACCAUCCUUACUGUUCUGAAACCUCCUAUGAAUCAUGACAGAGAAGCUACAUUAGAAGCUCAGAGAAGGGAAAUGAACUGCAUGACCCUAGUCUAGCAGUUUAACUGUGUGCUUAAGAUGUUUACCGAAAGCCCAUAGCUUUUAACUCACUUGCUACUUGCUUAUGGAAGAGUUGAAAAGCCGUUGCUUUCAGCUCUUGAUUCUAGUUCUUGUGCACUGAGCCACACUUCUUUUUUUGUCUUUGUAUUUUUCUAAUUUUGAUCCAAAGACCUCCUUGUCUCUCUUAUUUAUCAGAAUAGCUUCAUAGCCCCAGGGGCUCAUGAAAUUUCUCUCUCUCUCUCUCUCUCUCUCUCUCUCUCUCUCUGUGUGUGUGUGUGUGUGUGUUCCAAAAUUCAUCAUUCACCCUUAUAUUAAAUGGACUGAAAAUAGUUGUAAAUGGUAGGAAAGUAAGUAUACACAAAAUAAAUUACAAUCUCUGUAAGGAUUUUUGAAAUCUCAGGAGCAAUAUCAAAAAAGUAAAAAAAUAAGAUCUUAUUUCAUUUUCUUUAAACUAAAGAAAGUAUGGAAAAUUAAAUUAGGAGCUAUGAUCCAAAAGAAUUUGAUCAUUAUUGAUAAUAUCUUUAGGCUAGAAAUUUUCUAUCUCAUGACAUCAGAUAGGUAAGUGGGAACACCUGACAUCGAGUGAAUUUUGGGCCAAAAAGAGGCCAUUCAUGUAAUUUCCAAUUAAAAGCGUCUUGUAGUCAGGCAGUCAGUUCAGGUAUCCAGGUUUAGCUAUUUAGUGCUAGUUUCCUUUGAAAUAAAAAGGGUAAGUGUGGAUGCUGAAAUGGUUAUUGGUAAAACCAAACAGGUAUAUAUCCUUUGUUUGAAGAUACAGCCAAUUCUAGAAAGAUAUUUUUCACAUUGUAAUAAUUUUAGUUUAAAAUUACUCUGUGGUGAUGUGAAUGAGCUUCAUUGCAUCAUAAACUGCUGGAUUUACCACGCAGGAAAGAACCAAAUUUCUGGUAAGAGACAAUGGUUAUUUCAUGAUUAGCUCAUUUUUACCGGCUCUUGAAAACUUCCUCAGAUCAGUUAAGGUACAUCAAUGAAGACAGUUCAAAUGCAGGAUGUUAAAUCUAAGUAUCCUCUAAGACCAAAAUAGCUAGCUUAAAUGUGAAAAUGUCCACUCUGUCUGCUUUCACAAAUUCUAUACCUGGAGGAACUGAAGUAAAGGUUACACUGAACCUUGCUGAGACUAGGCUUGGGGAUUUUCUCCAUAUUUGAAAGAAUCUGAGAGAAACAGUGCCUAGAUUCCUGUGUAUAUUUUAUAAAUACCCUCAAUGUUAAGCAACUUCAAGCUACAGUUACUAUCUUAUUCUGUCAGUUGAUCAGAAGUUUCAAAUAGUAAUUAGUAUAUAGUCAAUUAAAAUGGGGCUAUCUAGGGCUAGAAAAAUGGUCAUAAUUAAUUUAUGGAUUACUUCUUGUAGAACACAGAAAUAUAUUCUUGAAGAACAAACACAAAAAUAUUCUCUUUAAAAGGACUGAAUGGUAGCACCAUUCUCUCUUGAUCUCUUUAGGGAGUAAAUGCUAAGGUAAAAACAAAUGAAUAUCAAAAUUGUAAGGAUGGGAGGAAGAAAGACAGCUGAAGUCCUAAAGUGCUUGUUAUGCAAGCAUGCGGAUUUGAAUUCAAUUACUGGAACACACACAGCUGAGUGUGCUUUUCUGUACCUAAACCCAAGAGCUGGUCAUGUGAAGAUAGAUAGAUCAAUAUCUGGAGCUCACUGGUCAGCUAACCUGGCCUAAUUGAGGAGUCUCAGGCCAGUAAGAGACCUGUCUCAAAGCCAAGGUAUAAGGUGCCCAAGGAACAAAAAUCCAAGAUGGAUUUCUAGCAUUCUUAUCUACACACACCUUCACUCAUGUGUACUUGCACACAUGCGUGUGUGUACACACACCUCAAAAUUUACAAUUACUUCAGACCUAUAUAUAAAAUGCAUACCAUUCACAUCCUGUGUAUGUAAAGCCUCUUGUAACAUUUAAAUGAUCUCUAGAUCAAGUCUCAUACCUAGGUCAAUGCAAUUGCUAUGUAAAUAUCUAUUGCAUUACAUUGUUGAAAACAAUGCCAAGAAAAAGUAUGUACAUGUUCACAAUAGGCCUUUAUAAGAAUCAUGUUGAUCAGGGAUGUUGAUUGAAUGCACAGACGCAGAGGCCACAGACACAUAAGAGCUAGUUUUGCCCGGGACCCUUUAUCUCACAGUCACGAAUACAGGAAGUUUAUCCUCCAAUUUGAUAAUUGGGCUGGUCCACUGCCUUAUCAUUCCAUGUAAAUUUAGAAACAGAGCAGUCAUCCUUCACUGUGCCCCAACCCCAACCCCAACCCCUGCCCAGGGACUAUUUAAUGAAUUUCACUGACUAGCAUCUGAUCCAAUCUACUGUCCUCAGUAGCAAUUUUUCUACUCUGCAAAUAUUAGUGGAUCUGUAUUUCUUGGCAAUUUAAAUCAACACAGACUAGUAGAUGGAGGCAUUUACUGACUGUAAGCCUAUAACCUAACCAGAGCCUGGUCACUGGCCCCUAAUGCCUCAGCAACAGCAAUAGAAGCAGAAACACACUAAAGUGUAGCUUCCCAUCCUAUAACAUCAAGGAACUGUUGAAAACCUGUAGAUGUGAAGUUUCAGAAGAAUCCCUUUGGAAGCCUAGCAACAUAAAGCUAUCUUCAAUCUGGGGAGUUCUGGUCAAAGGCGAUAAAAUGUGAUCCUAUUGGGACAUCACAGCGGCAAUUCUCCAGUAGGGGUAGAAGGAACAAAAGCUGAGUCCCACAGUGGUGAGGUUCCGAAGGCUGAUUGGAAGAUAAGGGCGAUGUCUGCAAGUGAUGAAGCUCCAGGUAUUUGUACUUUACUGGAAAGUCAUGCGAAUGAACAGAAACGUCCUGGCAAGAUACUUGUAGCCACUCUCUAUCAUAUGAGGGUGGCGAUCUGGAGGACAUUUGCUCCUGUCCUACUCUUUUACAGCCUAGAGAGAAGUUUUCUUUUUUACUUUGGAGGAGCUGAAGUUCAUGAUUGGAAGCAAGAGAGGUGAAGGGAGGCACCGAGAAAACCAGAGCGUCUCCUAAGCUACCUCCUAACAUCUCCUAGUCACUCUUACAACUUUAUUUCCUGGCUAGGCAUUUUCUUUUCUUUUUUCUUCUAGUUAAUUUAUUAUUCACAUUACAUCCCAAUAGAACACCCCCUUCCCUCUUCUCUUCCCAGUUCCACCCUCACAAACACCUCCUACACUUUUCUUCAGAGAAGAGGAAGCCCCCAGUGGGUACCAACCUGCCCUGGCACAUCAAAUCACAGCAGGAAUAAGUGCAUUCUUUCCCACUGAGGCAAGUCAGGGCAGCCCAACUGGGAGAAGGGGAUCCAAAGGCAAGCAACAGAGACAGAGAUAGUGCCUGCUCUAAUCGUUAGGUGACCCACGUGAAGACCAAGCUAUACAUCUGCUACAAAUAUGUAGGGGGCUUAAGUCCAUCCUAAGCACACCAUUUGGUUAGGGAUUCAGUCUCUGUGAGAACUCAGGUAAGUUGAGUCUGUAGAUCUUUUUGUGGUGUCCUUUACCCCUACUUCUCCCUCAAUCUUAACCUUCAACUCUGCCAAAAGAUUCCUGAACUCUGCCUGAUGUUUGACUGUGAGGUCUCUACAUCGGUUUCCACCUACUGUUGGGUGGAUCCUCUCAGAGGACAGUUACGUUAGGUUCUGGUCUGCAAGCAUAGCGGAAGACCAUCAGGCAUAGGCAGUUUCACCAGGAGUGUUACUCACAACCUCUGAAGCAUCAAAAUUCAGAUAAGGUCAGUGCCCAAUGAUAAAAUCACCGGUAUGCCCACUGUUGUUCUUGAUGUUUUUAUACUAAUUUGUGAAACCAUAUUUAAAAUUAAUAGACUAAAUAAAAUAGCAUCUGAAAGUUUCUGACACAAAGCAGACUCUGAGUAAAUUAGAUUUGAAUAACUAUUGAGAGCCAAUUAUAUGCUAGGAACUCUAAUAGAUCAUUGUAGAGACUCAUUGAGUAGGACUUAGGUCUUGUCCUCAGUGGGGUCCUGGUGUGGUGAAGAAAAAGAAACAAAAUAUAGCAGGGUAAUAUGGUUUUUGGGAGUCCCUUCACUGCCUUCUGUGACUAAGAUAAAGAUUACUUAGAGGUCAUAAAGCAGAGAAGAGGGAGUAGGAAAGAUCUGGAUCUAUACAGCAUCUUGAAAUUGAAAAACCAAACCUACUCCAUCUUGGGACUGGCCUCCACAUUAAAGAAAAUAAACAAAGCCUGAGAAUUUGUCCUGCAGCAGAACCCAAGCUGCAUCCACAUACCAGGAAGGACCUAGCUACUUCCUAGCAACAGUUAGUCAAGGAUUAGUCUGACUUGUUUCAGUUGUACUUUUGGAUCAUUCAUGAUGUAUAUAAUCUUGCUUCAGAGCACCCACCUAUCAGUGUACAAUAGUUAUUCAAUUAGAUACUUGACAGGUGAAACUCCCCACCCUGUUUCUAUAAAACUUUGUCCCUCUAAGAGCUCUGGGCUGCACCCUCCCAUUCUGCUGUCAGAGAUGGCAAUGAGCCCCAAGCUUGAGCUUCUAAAUAAAGACCCUAACGCAAUUACAUCAGAAUCAGCUCCUUUGUGGUCUUUUGUGGUUCAAGAAUGCUUCCCAACCCAACACAAUGUCCUAUAUAGUCAUGUUUUUUACAUGUAGUAAAUACCCUGUAAACAAUGUUGACAAAAUUCAAGGUACUACACUUACUGUUUGAAAGAAGGAGACAGACAAAGAGAAGGCAUCAGUAGGAUAUUUGCUGCAUAUAUGUAACAGAGCGUAUAAUAAAAACCAUAAAAGAGCUGGCUGAGGUGUUUUUUAUGAGAAAAGUCAGAGGUUACCAUUUCAGAAUAUUCAGGCAGGAUGGAGUGGAUUGGGGUAGUAGGUGGGACCAAAACAUGAUACCAGUAACAAAAUGUCCAAUGACCUGAUCCUGAAUAAACUUUUAACUGAUAAAACAACCAUGAAAGCUCAGAAUUGUGAUGAUAUAUAGACACUAACUGCUUUGUCUUGCUCAAAUUUAUACACUAAGGGGAGAAAUAGAAAGCCAUACCUAGGGUUACUUGGGGCCAAGGAUUGUGUUUCUCACUACAUUACUAUUUGUUAAUUUGACAUUUAUUUAUUUAUUUAUUUAUUUAUUUAUUUAUUUAUUUAUUUAUUUAUUUAUUAAUGUGUGUAUAUCACCUGCCAUAGUUUAUGUGUGCAGGUCAGAAGACAAUCUUACAGAGUCUGUGAGUGGACAUGAGCGAGCAGGAUGAAUGUGGGAGAUGAGACAGAAACCCCUCAUCCUGGGGUAGACAGAGAAAUGCAAACUUGUGAAUUAAUUGCUCUAACACCUUUAGUGUCACUCUGUGCAGUCCAACAAGAGUCUGACAUAAAUGGAAAAGCUGCCAAAGGUGAGAAGUGUGGACUGACCACCCUACUGAAGUUUGAAGAUAGGCUGCACAAAUUAAAAUCUCAGCAGACAGUUUGCCAGACACGUAAUGUUGAAGACAGGAAGUGUCAAAGGUAGAGACAAACAAUAUAGCAAAAAACAGGCAUUGAAUUUACCUGCUCUACUUCCUCAGAAGGAAGAGUCAUGGGCCAAUUAACAUCAAAGACUUUGUUCUAGGAAGCAUGUUUUAGCUUAUGCAAAACUUGUAUUUGGGCAGAGAGGGAACAUAGAACAAAGAACUGUGAGGAACUUGAUUAGUGAAUUAAGUGCAUUGCUAAGAUUGGAGGAGAACAGGAGAACACCACAUCAACAGUAAAGCUUGUAGCUUGUAGAACAAGAGGGAUGCAAAUAACCCAUGUGUUGGGUCAGUUCUAAACUGUCUUCUGCAGAGCACCAACCACAUAGUUGUAUAGAAAUCUGUGUUCAGAAUCUACUUCUGCUGAGGGACACAGAUGUGCUGGUUCUUGAAUAAAAGGUCUAGAAUUCACCACACAGCACCUAACCCCAGUUGCUGAUGAUGUUUUAUAAGAUAUUAACAACAUAAAAUUUUUGUCUUCCUGUGCUAAAUGCAAUAAUUAUAUACCAAUUUUUAUAUAGAAUCAAAAACUUUGGUACACAGGGCUCAUGAUGGCCUGCCAGAUAUUAUGGUGUGAUAUACUGAAUGAGAGUUGAUAUAUAUCAUGACAACCUGAGCCCAAGCAAGAGAAUUUUUUGGGUUCUUUUUGCAUACCCAGCCACUAGCGUGGUCAGGAAAUAGAAAGGAAUAUCUUGUCUGUUAUCUCUUUUUCUUACGUUGGAGUUGGAGAUCCCCAGUGUCUGGGAGACAAGAAGGUUUCUUCAGGUAUGGUCUGAGAUCAGGAAUGUCAGGAUCAACAUUACCUAGGAAAUUGUUCAAAAUGUAAUGUGGGGCCACACCCUCCAGAUACUGAAUCAGAGAUGCUGGGUUGGAAACAGCAUCUGUUUUAACAUGUUUUGUAACCACUGACCUAGAAAAAAUGUGAUAAUCUGGCAGAAAACAUGGCCGAACGGUUAUGCUACAUAAUAACAAAUAUUCUUGAUGUAAAGAAAAUGUCACUUUUUUGAAAAGAUCCAGUUAAGUAAGAGCUAAACAAUAUAGACAGUAUGUGGUUUUAGUGUGGAUGAAAAAUGAUUUUGUUACAAUUUCAUCUUUUCAACACUUUGAUGGAUUGACUACUAUCUUCCCUAAAGCAACAUCCACCCUGAACCUGUGAAUAUGAUUCUUUUUUUUUUCUUUUGCAAAAAGGGGUCUCUGCAGAUAUGAUCUAGUUAAUGGGUGGUCAUGCUGCAGGACCAAUGCCCUCAGAAGAAGGCAGAUUUUUUUUUGACACAAAGAAAUGAGGAAGAAUGUCAUGAAGAUUAAUGUAGAAAUUUGGAUGAAGCUUAUAUAAGCCUAAGGUAGCCAGCCAGUCUGACAACUGGACACGACAUGAAGCAGAUAAGCUCCCAGUUCUCUUAAAAAACUUGACUCUACGCACACUUGACAUCACACUCUGGCUUCCCCAUCUUUGGGAGAAUAUAUACUAUCUUUUAAGCUUUGUCACAACAACCAUAGAAAUGUAAGAUGCAUUUCAUCAGGUGUGGUGAUUUCAAUGCUAUUGGCCUCAGUAGACUCAUAUUUCGGAUGCUUGGUCUGAAUUCGCUGGCACUGUUUAGGAAGGUUUUGGAAGUAUAUCGUUGUUGGGAGGAGGUAUGUUACUAGGGGUGGCAUUUGAAGUUUCCACAGGCCAUGCUGUUCCCAGUUAGCUUUCUCUGUCUCUUGUAUUUAUACCAGAGACAAGUUCUCAGCUACUACCCCAGCACCAUGUUUGUCUGCCUGAUGCUCUAUGGGUCUUGGACUUCCCCACUGAAACGGUAAGCAAGCCUCCAAUAAAAUGUUUUAUUUUAUAAGUUGGUCACCAUGUCUCUUCACAGCAAGAGCAACUAACACAGCAAGGAACUAAGGCAGUAGGCAAAAUUUCUCGACAUUCAGGACACACCCCUAUUUCUCCCAUUUCUCAGAUUCUUGGUACAUCUUCUUUCCAUAUGUUUCUUCUCUUUAGCCAUCUUGCUUAUGAUUGUGUCCCAUGGAUUUCAGAUCUUUUCUCUAGUUUUAGAUAUUUACAUUAAGGCAAUCAAACUUCUCUUAGAUGGAACAUAUAUUCCUUAAUUCUCUGUUCCUGUGAUAAAACACCGUGACCUAAAGAAAACAGAGCUUAUUUGCAUCACUAUUGCAGAGGUUAAAAGA